This 433-nucleotide ribosomal RNA is filed under the name uncultured bacterium. RNAcentral describes it as "partial 16S ribosomal RNA". It matches the Rfam family "Bacterial small subunit ribosomal RNA", at positions 29 to 507 of the family's 1533-position model. The record is from RNAcentral.
AACGAACGCUGGCGGCAUGCCUAACACAUGCAAGUCGAACGAGACCUUCGGGUCUAGUGGCGCACGGGUGCGUAACGCGUGGGAACCUGCCCUUAGGUUCGGACUAACUCCCCGAAAGGGGUGCUAAUACCGGAUAAUGUCUUCGGCCCAAAGAUUUAUCGCCUUUGGAUGGGCCCGCGUUGGAUUAGCUAGUUGGUAGGGUAAAAGCCUACCAAGGCGACGAUUCAUAGCUGGACUGAGAGGAUGAUCAGCCACACUGGGACUGAGACACGGCCCAGACUCCUACGGGAGGCAGCAGUGGGGAAUAUUGGACAAUGGGCGAAAGCCUGAUCCAGCAAUGCCGCGUGGGUGAUGAAGGCCUUAGGGUUGUAAAGCUCUUUUACCCGGGAUGAUAAUGACAGUACCGGGAGAAUAAGCUCCGGCUAACUCCGUG